Molecule: ribosomal RNA, 195 nt
Filed under: Amblycirrhitus pinos (redspotted hawkfish)
Lineage: Eukaryota; Metazoa; Chordata; Actinopteri; Centrarchiformes; Cirrhitidae
Description: partial large subunit ribosomal RNA
Source: RNAcentral
AUGGAGACCUGUAUGAAUGGCAUAACGAGGGCUUAACUGUCUCCUUUUUCUAGUCAAUGAAAUUGAUCUCCCCGUGCAGAAGCGGGGAUAAUUAUAUAAGACGAGAAGACCCUAUGGAGCUUCAGACACUAACGCAGGCCAUUUCACUAACCCCAGACAAGGAUUUUAAACCAAAUAGUCGACUGCCCUAAUGUC